UGAAUACAUAGGUUAACGAGGCGAACCGGGGGAACUGAAACAUCUAAGUACCCCGAGGAAAAGAAAUCAACCGAGAUUCCCCCAGUAGCGGCGAGCGAACGGGGAGCAGCCCCGAGUCUGAAUCAGCUUGUGUGUUAGUGGAACGGUCUGGAAAGUCCGACGGUACAGGGUGAUAGUCCCGUACACCAAAAUGCACAGGCUGUGAACUCGAAGAGUAGGGCGGGACACGUGGUAUCCUGUCUGAAUAUGGGGGGACCAUCCUCCAAGGCUAAAUACUCCUGACUGACCGAUAGUGAACCAGUACCGUGAGGGAAAGGCGAAAAGAACCCCGGCGAGGGGAGUGAAAAAGAACCUGAAACCGUGUACGUACAAGCAGUGGGAGCACCUUCGGGUGUGACUGCGUACCUUUUGUAUAAUGGGUCAGCGACU
RNAcentral lists this ribosomal RNA (429 nucleotides) under Klebsiella pneumoniae. Its description in RNAcentral is "partial 23S ribosomal RNA". It matches the Rfam family "Bacterial large subunit ribosomal RNA", at positions 159 to 628 of the family's 2925-position model. Lineage: Bacteria; Pseudomonadati; Pseudomonadota; Gammaproteobacteria; Enterobacterales; Enterobacteriaceae. The record is from RNAcentral.